GACGAACGCUGGCGGCGUGCCUAACACAUGCAAGUCGAACGGUAAGGCCCUUCGGGGUACACGAGUGGCGAACGGGUGAGUAACACGUGGGUGAUCUGCCCUGCACUUCGGGAUAAGCCUGGGAAACUGGGUCUAAUACCGGAUAGGACCACUGCCUGCAUGGGUGGUGGUGGAAAGCUUUUGCGGUGUGGGAGGGGCCCGCGGCCUAUCAGCUUGUUGGUGGGGUGAUGGCCUACCAAGGCGACGACGGGUAGACGGCCUGAGAGGGUGACCGGCCACACUGGGACUGAGAUACGGCCCAGACUCCUACGGGAGGCAGCAGGGGGGAAUAUUGCACAAUGGGCGCAAGCCUGAUGCAGCGACGCCGCGUGAGGGAUGACGGCCUUCGGGUUGUAAACCUCUUUCAGCACCGACGAAGCGCAAGUGACGGUAGGUGCAGAAGAAGGACCGGCCAACUACGUGCCAGCCGCCGCAGUAA
This 478-nucleotide ribosomal RNA is filed under the name uncultured bacterium. Its description in RNAcentral is "partial 16S ribosomal RNA". It matches the Rfam family "Bacterial small subunit ribosomal RNA", at positions 28 to 523 of the family's 1533-position model. The record is from RNAcentral.